AAAUCUACACAGUACACAUAUAUCCAAUAUUCCAAUAUAUAUAGUAUAUAAGCCAUGAACUCCAAGCCAUUUUCUUUUUCUUUUAUACUUCUCUUGAUCACAACACUUCUUCUUUCACCCUUAACAUGUGCUCGAAAAUUGUCAGUUGCAGGAGACACAACGGCAAAGGGCCGUGUAGUAAGUUAUGGGAUGAUAUUGAGUCCGGCUUCCGCUCCGAAACCCAUAAUGUGUAAUCCUAAGAGUCACAACUGUUUUGGCAACCCAAGAGAUCCCCACCCACGAAGAUGCAGCGUCUACGAUCGCUACUGUAAACCCCCGGCCCCGGAGCCGUCCAAUUAAACGGCCGCCGCCCAGCUUUAAGAUGAAAAUAAAUAAGAAAGCAAAUUACAUGAGCACAAAAUCUCAACUUUAAUUUAUUGUACUGCUUUCUUAUAUAUAUUUGCUUAUCGCACUUAUUCCUCUCAUGUAUCUUUCCAUAUAUAUAAUUGUGCUUAGCUUGUCUACUAUGAAUAUUAAAUGUCUUCCAAUUA
Ipomoea nil (Japanese morning glory) is the source of this 530-nucleotide long non-coding RNA. RefSeq lists it as uncharacterized. The record is from RefSeq and is a predicted model, not a curated record. The transcript is spliced from 2 exons. NCBI's taxonomy places the organism in Eukaryota, Viridiplantae, Streptophyta, Magnoliopsida, Solanales, Convolvulaceae.